UCUGUGAAAGCCCGGGGCUUAACCCCGGGUCUGCAGUGGGUACGGGCAGGCUAAGUGUGGUAGGGGAGACUGGAAUUCCUGGUGUAGCGGUGGAAUGCGCAGAUAUCAGGAGGAACACCGAUGGCGAAGGCAGGUCUCUGGGCCACUACUGACGCUGAGAAGCGAAAGCGUGGGGAGCGAACAGGAUUAGAUACCCUGGUAGUCCACGCCGUAAACGUUGGGCGCUAGGUGUGGGUCCCAUUCCACGGGGUCCGUGCCGCAGCUAACGCAUUAAGCGCCCCGCCUGGGGAGUACGGCCGCAAGGCUAAAACUCAAAGGAAUUGACGGGGGCCCGCACAAGCGGCGGAGCAUGCGGAUUAAUUCGAUGCAACGCGAAGAACCUUACCAAGGCUUGACAUGUACCGGAAACUCCCAGAGAUGGGGGCCCCGCAAGGUCGGUACACAGGUGGUGCAUGGUUGUCGUCAGCUCGUGUCGUGAGGUGUUGGGUUAAGUCCCGCAACGAGCGCAACCCUCGUUCUAUGUUGCCAGCACGUGAUGGUGGGGACUCAUAGGAGACUGCCGGGGUCAACUCGGAGGAAGGUGGGGAUGACGUCAAAUCAUCAUGCCCCUUACGUCUUGGGCUUCACGCAUGCUACAAUGGCCGGUACAGAGGGCUGCGAAACCGUGAGGUGGAGCGAAUCCCUUAAAGCUGGUCUCAGUUCGGAUUGGGGUCUGCAACUCGACCCCAUGAAGUCGGAGUCGCUAGUAAUCGCAGAUCAGCAACGCUGCGGUGAUACGUUCCCGGG
RNAcentral lists this ribosomal RNA (786 nucleotides) under uncultured bacterium. RNAcentral describes it as "bacterial SSU rRNA". It matches the Rfam family "Bacterial small subunit ribosomal RNA", at positions 591 to 1378 of the family's 1533-position model. The record is from RNAcentral.